This 435-nucleotide ribosomal RNA is filed under the name uncultured bacterium. Its description in RNAcentral is "partial 16S ribosomal RNA". It matches the Rfam family "Bacterial small subunit ribosomal RNA", at positions 29 to 507 of the family's 1533-position model. The record is from RNAcentral.
AACGAACGCUGGCGGCAUGCCUAACACAUGCAAGUCGAACGAUUGCCUUCGGGUGCUAGUGGCGCACGGGUGCGUAACGCGUGGGAAUCUGCCCUUAGGUUCGGAAUAACAGCUGGAAACGGCUGCUAAUACCGGAUGAUAUCGCGAGAUCAAAGAUUUAUCGCCUGAGGAUGAGCCCGCGUUGGAUUAGGUAGUUGGUGGGGUAAAGGCCUACCAAGCCGACGAUCCAUAGCUGGUCUGAGAGGAUGAUCAGCCACACUGGGACUGAGACACGGCCCAGACUACUACGGGAGGCAGCAGUGGGGAAUAUUGGACAAUGGGCGCAAGCCUGAUCCAGCAAUGCCGCGUGAGUGAUGAAGGCCCUAGGGUUGUAAAGCUCUUUUACCCGGGAAGAUAAUGACUGUACCGGGAGAAUAAGCCCCGGCUAACUCCGUG